GAGGGGUGACCAGUCCUCUACUGACUGUACUGGGUAGAGAGGAACCAGGCUCUGAGGGGUGACCAGUCCUCUACUGGCUGUACUGGGUAGAGAGGUACCAGGCUCUGAGGAGUGACCAGUCCUCUACUGGCUGUACUGAGUAGAGAGGAACCAGGCUCUGAGGGGUGACCAGUCCUCUACUGGCUGUACUGGGUAGAGAGGAACCAGGCUCUGAGGGGUGACCAGUCCUCUACUGGCUGUACUGGGUAGAGAGGAACCAGGCUCUGGGGGUGGUCAGUCCUCUACUGGCUGUACUGAGUAGAGAGGAACCAGGUUCUGAGGGGUGACCAGUCCUCUUCUGGCUGCAAUGGGUAGAGAGGAACCAGGCUCUGAGGGGUGACCAGUCCUCUACUGGCUGUACUGGGUAGAGAGGAACCAGGCUCUGAGGGGUGACCAGUCCUCUACUGGCUGUACUGGGUAGAGAGGAACCAGGUUCUGAGGGGUGACCAGUCCUCUACUGGCUGUACUGGGUAGAGAGGAACCAGGCUCUGAGGGUGGUCAGUCCUCUACUGGCUGUACUGGGUAGAGAGGAACCAGGCUCUGAGGGUGGUCAGUCUUCUACUGGCUGUACUGGGUAGAGAGGAACCAGGCUCUGAGGGGUGACCAGUCCUCUACUGGCUGUACUGGGUAGAGAGGAACCAGGCUCUGAGGGGUGACCAGUCCUCUACUGGCUGUACUGGGUAGAGAGGAACCAGGUUCUGAGGGGUGACCAGUCCUCUACUGGCUGUACUGGGUAGAGAGGAACCAGGCUCUGAGGGUGGUCAGUCCUCUACUGGCUGUACUGGGUAGAGAGGAACCAGGCUCUGAGGGUGGUCAGUCCUCUACUGGCUGUACUGGGUAGAGAGGAACCAGGCUCUGAGGGUGGUCAGUCCUCUACUGACUGUACUGGGUAGAGAGGAACCAGGCUCUGAGGUGUGACCAGUCCUCUUCUGGCUGUACUGGGUAGAGAGGAACCAGGCUCUGAGGGGUGGCCAGUCCUCUACUGGCUGUACUGGUUAGAGAGGAACCAGGCUCUGAGGUGUGACCAGUCCUCUACUGGCUGUACUGGGUAGAGAGGAACCAGGUUCUGAGGGGUGACCAGUCCUCUACUGGCUGUACUGGGUAGAGAGGAACCAGGCUCUGAGGGGUGACCAGUCCUCUACUGGCUGUACUGGGUAGAGAGGAACCAGGUUCUGAGGGGUGACCAGUCCUCUACUGGCUGUACUCGGUAGAGAGGAACCAGGUUCUGAGGUGUGACCAGUCCUCUACUGGCUGUACUGGGUAGAGAGGAACCAGGCUCUGA
This is a long non-coding RNA of Oncorhynchus tshawytscha (Chinook salmon), 1321 nucleotides long. Lineage: Eukaryota; Metazoa; Chordata; Actinopteri; Salmoniformes; Salmonidae. The record is from Ensembl.